GUGUAGCUCAAGUCAGGGGAGGUGUAGCUCAAGUCAGGGGAGGUGUAGCUCAAGUCAGGGGAGGUGUAGCUCAAGUCAGGGGAGGUGUAGCUCAAGCCAGGGGAGGUGUAGCUCAAGCCAGGGGAGGUGUAGCUCAAGCCAGGGGAGGUGUAGCUCAAGUGGGAGGUGUAGCUCAAGCCAGGGGAGGUGUAGCUCAAGUCAGGGGAGGUGUAGCUCAAUUCAGGGGAGGUGUAGCUCAAGUCAGGGGAGGCGUAGCUCUACGAAAAGUAAUUGCACAAAUUGCCUAUUAAUUGGCAGAGAAUGCUAUUUAUAUACUGAACAAAAAUAUAAAGGCAACAUGUAAAGUGUUGUUCCAAUUUUUCACGAGCUGAAAUAAAAGAUUCCAGAAAUGUUCCAUACACACACAAAAAAAGCUUAUUUCUCUCAUUUUGUGCACAAAUUUGUUUACAUACCUGUUAGUGAGCAUUUCUCCAUUGCCAAGACAAUUCAUCCACCUGACAGGUGUGGCAUCUCAAGAAGCGGAUUAAACAGCACGAUCAUCACACAGGUGCACCUUGUGCUGGGGACAAUAAAAGGCCACUCUAAAAUGUGCAGUUUUGUCACACAACACAACGCUACAGAUGUCUCAAGUUUUGAGGGAGUGUGCAAUUGGCAUGCUGACUGCAGGAAUAUCUACCAGAGUUGUUGCCAGAUAAUUGAAUGUUAAUUUCUGUACCAUAUGCCACCUCCAACGUCGUUCUUGAGAAUUUGGCGGAACGUCCGACCAGCCUCACACCCGCAGACCAUGUAUAAACGUGUUCACCUGCAGGAUUGAGACCAGCCACCUGGACAGCUGAUGAAACUGAGUAUUUCUGUCUAUAAUAAAGCCCUUUUGUUUGAAAAAACUAAUUCUGAUUGUCUGGGCCUUGCUCGCCAGUGGGUGGGCCUAUACCCUCCCAGGCCCACCCAUGGCCUCGCUCCUGAGCAGUCAUGUGAAACCCAUAGAUUGGGGCCAAAUAUAUUUAUUUCAAUUGGCUGAUUUCCGGAUAUGAACUAUAACUUAGUAAAAUCGUUGCAUGUUGCGUUUAUAUUUUUCAGUAUAGAUCAGUGAUUAUACACCUCACUUUGCUCAAGCUGAUCCUCUCCAAGACUCAAUCCCUGAUCAUUGGAGGUUGUAAAAAUGGGGCAAUUAGGACAGUUCAAGGGGAGAAGCUAUGAAUCCAACCAGAAAAUAGAAAAAACUCUAAAUCAGAAUAUCGCUUGAAAAAAGAGCGUCAGUGAAAACAAUUCUGAAAAACCUGCAAUGUAGCAUUAUAAUAUAAAUGGAAAGACAGGACACACAGCCAUCGGAAAUCAAAUAAACACAUUACACUGUCUGAGAAGAACACACAUCAUUGUGUGUCAGUGUAUUUGUCUGUAGUUUAUGGAGAUGCUUUCAGUUUUUGUCAAGGCUGUGGGUAACUGGUGAAAGGAGUCAGGCGCAGGAGAGCUGAGAUGUGUGGACAAGGUAUUUAAUACAAGAUAACACCAGUACAAACACAAUACUACGGUGCGGGAACAAUACCGGUACCACGAAAUAAACGGGCGUAAUAACAACAAAAUACCAGCCGUCAGUAACAGCCUGAACAAUAGAAAAAACACGCACACAAACAUGAGGGAAACCAGAGGGUUAAAUAAUGAACAUGUAAUGGGGGAAUUGAAACCAGGUGUGUAGAAAACAAAGACAAAACAAAUAGAAAAUUGAAAGUGGAUCGGCGAUGGCUAGAAGGCCGGUGACGUCGACCGCCGAACGCCGCUCGAACAAGGAGAGGGACCGACUCCGGCGGAAGUACCUCCGUUCAUUACAUGUGUGUUAAUGAAUGAACACAUUUUGGGAUUGGCAACUUUUCAAGGGAUGUUGGCACUUGCAAAAGCCAUAUCCUCAGCAUUUACGUUUUUACAUUAAUUUCUGUGGCAAAUGAAAAUGGCUACAUUGUUCGGAAAUAGGCUACUGUGUAUAUAUAUAUAUAUAUAUAUAUAUAUAUAUGUAUAUUUAAAAUCCCUAUAAUUCCAAUAUAAUGUUGAUAAGACAAUGAAUAAGUGAAAUGUUUGUUGCUAAUGUCCUUAAACCAGGCUAAUAAUUUGGUGCAUUAGGGUAAAGUGUAGGCUGCUGAUGAGUAAGCAUUUCACUGUAAGGUCUACACAUGUUUUAUUCAGCGCACGUGACAAAUAAACUUUGAUUUGAUUUGAGAAUAAUUGUCAGCAAACAUUUCAUUUGAAUUCAAGGUUUAUUUUGGACUAACUGGAUAAUUAUGUUAGAUGAUCAUGGUAUGCACACGAGACAAUGAAUUCACAUGUGGUGUGAGAAGGUGCUAUAUCUGCCUAUUGAGGUCGAAUGAUGGAAAUGCGCUGCAGAAAACAACCCCACCAAAAUUCUGAUUAUUUUACGAUAAUUUUAUUACAAUGUGAAAACCUUUUACUAAUAACACCUGAGUAUAAUGGUUUCCUGUUAUUUCAUAAGCACCUUAUAUUGCAC
Long non-coding RNA from Oncorhynchus tshawytscha (Chinook salmon), 2494 nucleotides. Lineage: Eukaryota; Metazoa; Chordata; Actinopteri; Salmoniformes; Salmonidae. The record is from Ensembl.